UUUUCAGGUGGAGUGGCAUUGCUGACAGGCCAGGGCCCAGGUUCGAAUCAACCCAAGAUGAUGAACCCUGAAGAUGGGACAAAGUGCAUGACAAAGUGGCCCAGAGGAAGCCAGCUGUUCUCAACCCCUACAAUGCCCCAUUCUUCCAAGAGCUCACUGAGUUUCACUAAAGAUAACAAAAUCGGAACUGAGGAGGAUUGUUACGGAGCCCCAUGAGGAACACCUGAUGCUGCGCUGACUUCUCUCUCUCCUGGAUGCUCUCCUGCCCAACUGUUCCGUUGUGUUUUACCACCUCUGAACCCCCUUACCCAAUUAUUUAACCCUAAACAUUGAUCUAGGAUUGUACACAAUAUCAAUUUUAACUCCAUCUCCCCUUCUCUCUUUGUCACUCUCUCCCCCACACACCCCACACACAGGCACACAAUAUCGUUUUUAAAUUUGGGUCGUAAUGACGCUCUUAUGACGCUCUUAUUUCGUUACAUAUGUGUUAACUGUUACUUCUAUUGUCAAUUAUGUUGUUAA
Molecule: long non-coding RNA, 522 nt
Organism: Oncorhynchus keta (chum salmon)
Lineage: Eukaryota; Metazoa; Chordata; Actinopteri; Salmoniformes; Salmonidae
Exons: 3
Source: RefSeq, a predicted model, not a curated record